GAAGCCCUCCUGUCGGAAGGUCCCUGCUCCGGACGCCUGCCCGCUCUCCAGCUCCCGCCCUCCUGGCGAGUCCAAGAGAUGCAGCCAGCGAGGCGGGCUCAGGAUUCAGUCUCCCCCAGAGAUGCAAAGAGAUGAGGGAAAAAGCCCCACAUUAGGGGCAUUGUAGGCAGCAAAGCUCCAGGAUGGCGGGGCUCCCCUGGGUGGCCACGUCAGGCUCAGCGCUUUCUGCAGGACACGCGUGGUGGAUAUGUAGCAGCCAGCACUGGGCUUAAGUGGGAAGGGUGAUGCAAGGCCUUGUGGCGAGCCGGCCCUAGGAGUGUGGCACACUUUUUUGCCAAAAUGUAUCAGUCUGGGAAGAACUCCAAGCCCGAGAUUGAGAAAGAAAGCUUGCCUCUGGUCAGGACACGGGCUGUCAGCCUGCACCGGAGCAGAGCAGGGUGAAGUGAGCAGGGCUGGCCGGCAGGCCCCCAGGGUCGUGGUCCGGGCUCUGCCCCUCACUCACUCUACACUCUCAUGGAGCAACCACGCCCCUCUUCUCGUGCCUUCAUAUGAGACGAUCUCAGUGCUGCCCUCUUACUCCGCUGAUAUUCAUGAUCAAGAAAACGAGUCCUUGCAGGCUGAGUGACACUGGGAUUCUGGAGCAAGUAGCGGUGACACUACCGCUUCUAAAGCCUCAGGUCCUGGGCAGGAGAUUGGCGGUGAGGAGGAGAAAGGAGAGCCCCUGCCCUGGAGAACAUUCAGGAAAAGCCCUGCUUGCUCUGCCAGCCUAAUCCUGGCCAUUUGGAGCAGAGGGAGGGAGGAAAUGCCCUUCACGUCUGGUCUCUUUCCUGGCUGGCACACUUGGAGACGUUCCCUCUGCGGGCUCUUGAAGGCUCUUCGUUUUCAGGAGACACCUCAGGACGGGAGGGCAGCGGGCUUAGGCCCGGGACUGCGGGACCCACUCUCCUCCCAUGACUGCUGCAGGGGGACCUGAGCGCCGCGAGGGCUCAGCAGUGCGUCCACAUGGCCUCUGAAAGCAUCCAACAAGAGGCAGCAGGUGAAAUGGAAAAGGAACUGGUGGGGCAGGUUCUGCCACCAGCUUUGCUGGGGACUUCCACAGCUCAUGGCUUUGCAUCUCUGUUUUCUCCUCUGCAAAAUGAGGAUAAUAACACCGAGGUUGUUGUGAAGAUAUUUAGAUAUUUAAUAAGCAUAAAGGGCAUAAUAGGCAUUCAACAAGUAAAUUUGGCUGGCAGUCUUAAGAUGCUGUAGCGCCCUCGACAUCCAACUGGGGAUGGCAGGAGGAAGUGACGGCGGACGCCCUGAUUCGGGGAGCAUUUCCUGCCACAUGCCGACCCGCGCUUACUAUCUGUUGGUGGACCUUAUCUCCACAGUCCGGCUGUCAUGGACAGACGCAAUAGGCUUGCAAAAGUCAGCUGGCACGACGGAAAAAAUGAAAAAUAAAUCUUAAAACACAGCUCACUGCCAUGGCUGCCGUGAUACAAGGUGGUGCACAGGGAGGAUGGGUACAGGCAGCUCUCCAUGCUGGCCCCUGCGCUGGCCGGCCAGGAGGCUGCGGGCCGCCAGCCAGCACAGAGCCCUGGGCCGGGUGGGAAGGCUGGCCGGGCCUCUGGGCUGAGCUGACUUCCGCUCGGCCAGCCGCCGCUUCCUGCCCGUUUCUCCGAAGUCAGGAGCCGCCUUGCUCCCAGCGCUCUGGCCAUCGCACCUCUCUUC
This is a long non-coding RNA of Manis pentadactyla (Chinese pangolin), 1710 nucleotides long. RefSeq lists it as uncharacterized. The record is from RefSeq and is a predicted model, not a curated record. NCBI's taxonomy places the organism in Eukaryota, Metazoa, Chordata, Mammalia, Pholidota, Manidae. The transcript is spliced from 2 exons.